GAUGAACGCUGGCGGCGUGCCUAAUACAUGCAAGUCGAGCGCACAUUCCAGGAGCUUGCUCCUCUGACGUUAGCGGCGGACGGGGGCGUACCGCGUAGAUAACCUACCUAUAAGACUGCGAUAACUGCGGGAAACAGGAGCUAAUACCUGCUAAUAUAUUGAACCGCAUGGUUCAGUAGUGAAAGACGGUUUUGCGGUCACUUAUAGAUGGAUCCGCGCCGCAUUAGCUAGUUGGUAAGGUAACGGCUUACCAAGGCAACGAUGCGUAGCCGACCUGAGAGGGUGAUCGGCCACACUGGAACUGAGACACGGUCCAGACUCCUACGGGAGGCAGCAGUAGGGAAUCUUCCGCAAUGGGCGAAAGUCUGACGGAGCAACGCCGCGUGAGUGAUGAAGGUUUUCGGAUCGUAAAACUCUGUUAUUAGAGAAGAACAAAUGUGUAAGUAACUAUGCACGCCUUGACGGUACCUAAUCAGAAAGCCACGGCUAACUACGUG
Molecule: ribosomal RNA, 497 nt
Filed under: uncultured bacterium
Lineage: Bacteria
Description: partial 16S ribosomal RNA
Rfam family: Bacterial small subunit ribosomal RNA
Source: RNAcentral